CCUGAGCAGCACUCACUGCAGCUCCCCACACCUGCUAUAACUCACACUCCCUGAGCAGCACACUCACUGCAGCUCCCACACCUCCUAUAACCCACACUUAUAACAGGCACUACAUGUUAAAACCCCUUCAGCCACUUACCUUUCUCCAGCGCCGGGCUCCCUCUGUGCUCGGGAGCUCUCCACCCCCUGCCGACAUCAGAUGCGAAUGUGCAUGCACGCGCAUUUAAAC
This is a non-coding RNA of Pelobates cultripes (western spadefoot toad), 229 nucleotides long. The record is from the annotation of a GenBank genome assembly. NCBI's taxonomy places the organism in Eukaryota, Metazoa, Chordata, Amphibia, Anura, Pelobatidae.